GUAGGUUUAAGUUUAUUAGACAAGUACAUAUACACCAACAAGACAGUGUACAAGCAUUGUCACAAGAAAGUUUGUUUUCAUUCAUAGGCUUCAUUGUCUUUCCAUCAAUACCUGACGCUGUAGGUGCCCCUUCAACGUUAUUUAUUUAUUUAUUUAUUAUAGCCCACCCCACAAUCUUUCCCUAAACCAAAGUUCAGUCAGGACCACUUUUGUCAAAAUAACUUUUAUUCCAAAGCAGAAUAUUACAUUUGGCGGUAUUGCUCUGCUCUGCUCUGGGAUCUCCUUGCCUUUCUCUUAGGCAAAACCUAAUCUCUGGAAAACCUAAGGGAGCACACCUCCCUGCCCUACCAUGUGCGUACAUGGAAAAGUUUAAGACAAGGAGAGUGGCAGCAGAGACCCCCCAGGGUACAGAACAGAGCAAGCAUCAAUGGCAAUCAGAAAAUGACAUUGAUUAAUUAGAUACAACAUAAAAAGGAGGAGCUGGGGUAGAAGUGGGUUGCAAAAAGGCUUGUAGAGGAAGCAGCAAAGAUAGGCAGGCUAAAGCAGCUUAAAUAAGGCGCCAUAAAUGAUAUUUGCCAAUUGGAUGCUUGAGGGAAUCAGCUGAGCUGUCAGCUGACUGUGUAUGGUUUCCAAUAGGAAGCUUAGGAGGAAUCAGCUGAGCCAUCAGCUGAUUUGUGUUUAUGACUAGCUGUGAUCAUAUGAUAUAGCUGGAAUUGUAAUAUUCUUAUUUGUGAUAAGAUUGUAUGUACACUGUACUCUCUUUUUAUUGCACUAUAUUCCCCAACGCUGCUGUGUGUAACUUGAAUUUCUCCUACAGGGGAUUAAUAAAGGUAUAGAGUAUCUUAUCUUAUCUUAUUGCUAAUGUGAGGGAAACUUGCUUCAUUUGUUAUUGCUAACAUGAAUUCAAAGCGCUGCAUGUCCAGAAAAAACACUAGAUGGGUAUCUAUAGCAUCAUGGUUUAUAGCAUGAGGCCACUGACCAAGUGGCCAUAUUUGAGUUGGGAGAGAAAGCGUAGCAUUAGAAAAGUUUGACAUAUUGGGUUUAUGCUGUUGAUUUGAAUGCAUGAAUGAAUUAAAAUAGAAACACAGUGACAAGAUAUUCUCAUGAGUUUCCACAGUUGCUUGGCUGCUGCCAUUGUCAACCAGAACAUAAAUAUGACUUAGUUAUAAUAGUUCUGAAUAGGAGAGUAUAAUAAUAGUAUCUCUAUUCAAGUAAAUGUGUCAUUUUUGUGUUUAAGCAUAAAGUAAAAUAGUUAUAAUAUUGAUCAAAUCUAUUAUACAAGCUUUGUGAAGGACUUCUGGUUUGUCAUUUGCCUUUUCAGGCUCUUUAAUCAGUCACAGAGGAUCCUCUCUAUGGACUGGCUGAGCCCUGCUUUGCAGAGUGUGGACUGCAUACUUACAUUAGUGCAAAGAGUUGUGAAAAAUGUGUUCAGGGUAAACAUGACCCAAAAGCAGACUCUCUAGAGAUGCCCACACAGUUUCCAUGGCAACACAAAAAGAAAAAAGGGAAAAAAAGGAAUCUUUGACUGAGGAGUUACCUGACAGGGGAACCAAGACAGAGUGAAGGGAGGAAAGAAGCACAGCACAAGCAUCAACUUUUAAACCAAUCCAGUGUGUUUUCAGUGGACCUGGACUUUUAAAAACAUUAAUAAAAAAUGAGCUGCGAGGAGCUGAUCACAGUUGAAUGAUUGUUCACUUCAUUUCACUGACCUCUUACACUGAGGAUUGUAGCGACAUGUGUAUGUGUGUGUGUGUGUGUGUGUGUGUGUGUGUGUGUGUGUGUGUGUGUGUGUGUGUGUGUGAGAAUAA
Long non-coding RNA from Dicentrarchus labrax (European seabass), 1808 nucleotides. RefSeq lists it as uncharacterized. Lineage: Eukaryota; Metazoa; Chordata; Actinopteri; Moronidae. The transcript is spliced from 2 exons. The record is from RefSeq and is a predicted model, not a curated record.